This is an RNA transcript of Quercus lobata, 3262 nucleotides long. It is a transcript of the gene named Ribonuclease II/R family protein, with no coding region annotated. The record is from RefSeq and is a predicted model, not a curated record. Lineage: Eukaryota; Viridiplantae; Streptophyta; Magnoliopsida; Fagales; Fagaceae. The transcript is spliced from 15 exons.
AGUAGCAACCUCAUCUACAAAAAUCUCCAACACUAUAGCUUUAUCGUCAACAAGCAGCGAAAAACACUUCCUCUCAUUUCUCUCACUCUCUCAAAACUGUAAGAACAGAAAACUUCUUUGCUCGCGUACUCAAUAGGUUUCGAUUUUCUCAAUCUUCUAUGAACCAAAAGGACUAAAAGCUUAACUUCCAUUACUCAAUGAUGGCGGUUAGAGCCGUUAACAGCUGCUCCAUCUUUCGCUCCGCUUCGCCUCCUCCUUUCUCCGCGGCGGUUCGGUGCCGAUUGUACCAUUACAGGAACUUGCAGUUUCGCCGAUGCUCCAAAUUAGGGUUUCGGUUCCAUGCAUUCCGGUCCGAGAAGAAGCUUUUCGGCCAUGGCGGUGUUCGGAGCUGUUCGGUUCACAGUCUCGUCGAUAGCGUCAUGGAAGAGCUCGAAUUCAUGCGCAAAAGGAAGAGAGUUUACGCUGCCUCCAAAAUGGGAUUAACAAGCAGUGGAGAGCUUCUUGAAGAUAAGCUUUCGAACCGAGUGCUAGAGAAAGGGUUGCUGUUGGAGUUCAAGAAGGAUUCUGAUAGGGUCUUAUUGGCAGUUGCUCAGAAACCAGACGGCAAAAAGAACUGGAUGGUGUCCGAUCAGAAUGGUGUCACAUCCUCCAUUAAACCUCAACAAAUUACAUAUAUUGUUCCGGGCAUUGAGAAUUUUGAUCAUACUGGGAUUUCAGAUUUUAUUCAGAAAGCACAGGAUAACUUGGAUCCAGCACUUCUGGAGUUUGCUUGGGUUGAACUUCUUGAAAACAAUAAGUCAGUGACAACAGAAGAAUUAGCAGAGAUGAUUUUUGGUAGUGCAGAGCCCCUUGAAAGCUAUUGUGCCCACCUUUUGCUAUCAAAAGAUGAAACGUAUUUCAGUGUGCUGGAGACAAAAGGUUCACGUUCUAUAUAUGGACCUCGACCUACUGUGCAGGUACAAGAACUUUUACGCUGGAAGCUUGCAAAGGAGGCGGCUGAGCAAGAACUUCAGGAGUUUGUACAAUUACUGAAAUCUGCUAAGAACAUGCCUUCAAAAUCUAAACCCCCCAAAUCAACUUGGUUGGCUGAAGAGAAAACUAGACACAAAAUUGAAUCUCUUGAAUCUUAUGCCAUUGAUGCCUGCAAAAAUGAUGACCAAAAGAAGACAGCUGGGAUGAUCCUUAAGGCAAUGGGACUGGUGAAAACAGCAUCAUCAGCUGUAAAUCUCCUCAUAGAUAUCGGUUAUUUUCCCGUACAUGUCAAUCUUGAGCUCUUAAAGUUAAAUAUUCCUACUGAUCAUUCAGAUGAGAUAUUAACGGCCGCUGAAAGUCUUUUGUCUGAGUCAUCUGAUCCAGAUGAGAUUUACAGAAAAGAUCUCACUCAUUUGAAGGUUUAUGCCAUUGAUGUUGAUGAGGCUGACGAGCUUGAUGAUGCCCUGAGUGCAACAAGGUUGCAAGAUGGCCGGAUUAAAGUUUGGAUACAUGUUGCAGAUGCAGCUAGAUUUGUACAACCUGGGAGCAUGGUAGACAGGGAGGCAAUGAGAAGAGGAACUUCUAUAUUCUUGCCAACUGCCACUUAUCCUAUGUUUCCAGAGAACCUUGCCAUGGAAGGAAUGAGUUUGAAACAAGGAGAGAUCUGCAAUGCUGUUACGGCAUCUGUUGUGCUGCGUUCUGAUGGCAGCAUUGCAGAAUUCUCAGUGGAUAACUCAGUCAUCAAACCCACCUAUAUGCUGACAUACGAGAGUGCAUCUGAACUACUUCAUUUGAACCUGGAAGAGGAGAUUGAACUGAAAAUUCUAUCUGAGGCGGCGACUUUACGGUUACAAUGGCGGCAACAACAGGGUGCAGUUGACACAGCCACGUUAGAAGCACGCAUCAAGGUGGCUAACCCAGAGGAUCCAGAGCCUGUUAUUAAUCUUUAUGUUGAAAACCAAGCGGACCCUGCAAUGCGACUGGUCACUGAGAUGAUGCUACUCUGUGGGGAAGUUAUAGCCACAUAUGGUUCUCGCAACAACAUUCCUUUACCCUACAGAGGACAGCCCCAGUCAAAUAUUGAUGUGUCUUUAUUUCAACAUCUUCCAGAAGGACCGAUUAGGAGUUCUGCUAUUGUUAGAUUAAUGCGGGCUGCUGAAAUUGAUUUCAGGAAGCCUAUACGCCAUGGGAUUUUGGGACUCCCUGGUUAUGUUCAGUUUACAUCUCCUAUUCGUAGAUAUAUGGAUCUUCUAGCUCAUUAUCAGGUCAAAGCAUAUCUUAGAGGUGAAUCUCCUCCUUUCUCAGCUGGCCAGCUAGAAGGGAUGGCAUCAAUUUUAAACAUGCAUUCUAGAUUAGCAAAGAGGCUGUUCAGCAGCAGUCUUCGGUAUUGGAUCUUAGAAUACCUAAGGAGUCAACCAAAAGAAAGAAAAUAUCGUGCAUUGAUCCUUAAGUUCAUUAAAGAUCGGACUGCAGCCUUAUUGUUAGUUGAGGUGGGAUUUCAAGCUUCUGCAUGGGUAUCUGUUGGAGCACAGAUUGGAGAUGAAGUAGAAGUUCGGGUGGAUGAAGCUCAUCCACGUGAUGAUUUUAUUUCUCUUAAGGAGGUUAUUUGAGGGCUAGAAAGAGAUUCUUUUGACUGGAUCUUAUCAUCAUAAAAGUAUUUUCUCUGAUAUUGCUGUGAAUGAUUAUCAAGGCAUCAUAGCUUCUGCAAUCUUUGAAAGUGAUCAGAAUCUCGUACCGCAAAACAGAUACAAACAUCACUUUUCAAGAUGAAUGUUUAUGAAAAUCACCACCUGUAGAAGUGACUGCCCAUGUUGCAUUGCAUGACAAACAUACUCUGCUUCAAAUUAUUUUCUGCAGGAAUAGCUUCAAAGCGUGCUCCAAUUCAAAUUGACUAAUGGCAUUUUGAGCUCUGGAGAUUUUGGUCAAUACGUGCGUAAGAUUGGUUGGUCAUUCAUUUUUCAGGGCCAGCAUUUCUGUAUGUUCAUUUUGUUCUUCAAAGUUGUUCCUAUGAGGAGGCAUGACAAACUAAAGUCAUGUAUACCGUUAUAGCUGAUCUAUUUUUGUGUAAGUAAUUUUGUAACAUGUGGUAUAGUUUCCAGUCACACUCUUCCCUUUUAACCAAAAGCAGUGAAAGCAAAGAUCUUUUCAGUCACGAAUUGCAUACAAAUUACAUUGUAGAUGAACAGAUUUGUACUAGUUAGCCAACUGAAUAAUUUUACUAGGGGAAGUUAACAAUGUUGUAUCAUGUAAAAUUGUCAGUCACUUCGAUCGAAGUUUUGCUGGGCCUUCA